Arvicanthis niloticus (Nile rat) is the source of this 1014-nucleotide non-coding RNA. The record is from RefSeq and is a predicted model, not a curated record. Lineage: Eukaryota; Metazoa; Chordata; Mammalia; Rodentia; Muridae.
UUGCUUUACUUUUCUACAGUAGCCACACAGAAUGCCUCCAAUCAGGAAAAACAAAAUUUCUCAAAAUUAUGGUCAGAAAAGAAGAUGUACUUGUAGAAUAAUCUGAGGGGGGCUAUUACUUCUUGGGUGGUAAUGUUAUUCUUUGUCUGAAACAUCUGGAAAUAACACCCCUUGGCUUGAAAAAAAAUGUAAACCAAAACAGAAGAGUAGAAGACUCCAUUGUUUAACAUGAGCAAGAUUUAGAACAUUCGAGUUCUAUGACGAGGCCACAGAGACAGCAGAAUAAUCUGCCCACCAGGGGAAGGUUGUCAAGAUAGAAUUCAAACACCAGUGACCUAAACGGAAAGUCCUUGCUCAUAAUGACCAUGCUGAACAACCUUGGAAGGCCACCCUGCUUACAACCUUUUCUGUGUAUUUCCACACCCUUAGGAUCAAGUCCAAAUUGACCAGCAUCUUAGUACACUAAUUAGUACAAUAUUCAAGAUUCUGCACAGCCCGAUCCUGAUCAUUCCAUCCUGUCACCUCCCCUCCUGCCUCCUCGUGCUCUGGCUCCCAUCCCACAGCCUUGUUCCAAGCAUCUGAGCAUACAGAUUCCCAAACCCUCUGGUUCCCUCACAACCUGCCUGUGAGUUAACCUUGCUCCUGCCUCGCCCUCUGCCCAGAUUUCCCAGCUGCUGCUUUAGGAUAUAGGCCUGGCAUAGAAUCCUCCCAGGACUUCUGUGCAAGGCUCCCACUCUGCACUGCUCCUGUCCACUCAGCUCUCUCCUGAGGCCAACUGCCAACCCCCCCAGAGGCAAGGUCUGGAUGCUUGCCUGCCUGCCCUCCCACCAGGGGUUAGCGGGGUGUCUGGCCUCCCCAAGGGCACUCAAAAUAAAAACUAGCAAAAGUAAGAAGUGGGCAAAAAGGACAGGAGUCCGAUGGAGAGAUAGACAGGGAGACAGAAGUUGUGAAUUUCCAUUUGUAAAUCAUCAGCUCUUCCUUCCCAAUAAACAUUAAUUAAACGACUCAACACCC